RNAcentral lists this ribosomal RNA (2985 nucleotides) under Salmonella enterica subsp. enterica serovar Kottbus. Its description in RNAcentral is "23S ribosomal RNA". It matches the Rfam family "Bacterial large subunit ribosomal RNA". Lineage: Bacteria; Pseudomonadati; Pseudomonadota; Gammaproteobacteria; Enterobacterales; Enterobacteriaceae. The record is from RNAcentral.
GGUUAAGCGACUAAGCGUACACGGUGGAUGCCCUGGCAGUCAGAGGCGAUGAAGGACGUGCUAAUCUGCGAUAAGCGCCGGUAAGGUGAUAUGAACCGUUAUAACCGGCGAUUUCCGAAUGGGGAAACCCAGUGUGAUUCGUCACACUAUCAUUAACUGAAUCCAUAGGUUAAUGAGGCGAACCGGGGGAACUGAAACAUCUAAGUACCCCGAGGAAAAGAAAUCAACCGAGAUUCCCCCAGUAGCGGCGAGCGAACGGGGAGGAGCCCAGAGCCUGAAUCAGCAUGUGUGUUAGUGGAAGCGUCUGGAAAGGCGCGCGAUACAGGGUGACAGCCCCGUACACAAAAGCGCAUGUGCUGUGAGCUCGAUGAGUAGGGCGGGACACGUGGUAUCCUGUCUGAAUAUGGGGGGACCAUCCUCCAAGGCUAAAUACUCCUGACUGACCGAUAGUGAACCAGUACCGUGAGGGAAAGGCGAAAAGAACCCCGGCGAGGGGAGUGAAAAAGAACCUGAAACCGUGUACGUACAAGCAGUGGGAGCACCCUUUGGGGUGUGACUGCGUACCUUUUGUAUAAUGGGUCAGCGACUUAUAUUCUGUAGCAAGGUUAACCGUAUAGGGGAGCCGUAGGGAAACCGAGUCUUAACCGGGCGUUAAGUUGCAGGGUAUAGACCCGAAACCCGGUGAUCUAGCCAUGGGCAGGUUGAAGGUUGGGUAACACUAACUGGAGGACCGAACCGACUAAUGUUGAAAAAUUAGCGGAUGACCUGUGGCUGGGGGUGAAAGGCCAAUCAAACCGGGAGAUAGCUGGUUCUCCCCGAAAGCUAUUUAGGUAGCGCCUCGUGAAUUCAUCUCCGGGGGUAGAGCACUGUUUCGGCUAGGGGGCCAUCCCGGCUUACCAACCCGAUGCAAACUGCGAAUACCGGAGAAUGUUAUCACGGGAGACACACGGCGGGUGCUAACGUCCGUCGUGAAGAGGGAAACAACCCAGACCGCCAGCUAAGGUCCCAAAGUCAUGGUUAAGUGGGAAACGAUGUGGGAAGGCCCAGACAGCCAGGAUGUUGGCUUAGAAGCAGCCAUCAUUUAAAGAAAGCGUAAUAGCUCACUGGUCGAGUCGGCCUGCGCGGAAGAUGUAACGGGGCUAAACCAUGCACCGAAGCUGCGGCAGCGAACGUAUCACUUAAAGCGAUUCAGCGGGUUACGAUUGACGGAGCGAAGCGACGUCAAAGCGUAUACAAAGUCGAGUCGGUUUAAGGAUACGUUCGUUGGGUAGGGGAGCGUUCUGUAAGCCUGUGAAGGUGGCCUGUGAGGGUUGCUGGAGGUAUCAGAAGUGCGAAUGCUGACAUAAGUAACGAUAAAGCGGGUGAAAAGCCCGCUCGCCGGAAGACCAAGGGUUCCUGUCCAACGUUAAUCGGGGCAGGGUGAGUCGACCCCUAAGGCGAGGCCGAAAGGCGUAGUCGAUGGGAAACAGGUUAAUAUUCCUGUACUUGGUGUUACUGCGAAGGGGGGACGGAGAAGGCUAUGUUGGCCGGGCGACGGUUGUCCCGGUUUAAGCGUGUAGGCUGGUUUUCCAGGCAAAUCCGGAAAAUCAAGGCUGAGGCGUGAUGACGAGGCACUACGGUGCUGAAGCAACAAAUGCCCUGCUUCCAGGAAAAGCCUCUAAGCAUCAGGUAACAUCAAAUCGUACCCCAAACCGACACAGGUGGUCAGGUAGAGAAUACCAAGGCGCUUGAGAGAACUCGGGUGAAGGAACUAGGCAAAAUGGUGCCGUAACUUCGGGAGAAGGCACGCUGACACGUAGGUGAAGUGAUUUACUCACGGAGCUGAAGUCAGUCGAAGAUACCAGCUGGCUGCAACUGUUUAUUAAAAACACAGCACUGUGCAAACACGAAAGUGGACGUAUACGGUGUGACGCCUGCCCGGUGCCGGAAGGUUAAUUGAUGGGGUCAGCGCAAGCGAAGCUCCUGAUCGAAGCCCCGGUAAACGGCGGCCGUAACUAUAACGGUCCUAAGGUAGCGAAAUUCCUUGUCGGGUAAGUUCCGACCUGCACGAAUGGCGUAAUGAUGGCCAGGCUGUCUCCACCCGAGACUCAGUGAAAUUGAACUCGCUGUGAAGAUGCAGUGUACCCGCGGCAAGACGGAAAGACCCCGUGAACCUUUACUAUAGCUUGACACUGAACAUUGAGCCUUGAUGUGUAGGAUAGGUGGGAGGCUUUGAAGCGUGGACGCCAGUCUGCGUGGAGCCGACCUUGAAAUACCACCCUUUAAUGUUUGAUGUUCUAACGUGGACCCGUGAUCCGGGUUGCGGACAGUGUCUGGUGGGUAGUUUGACUGGGGCGGUCUCCUCCUAAAGAGUAACGGAGGAGCACGAAGGUUGGCUAAUCCUGGUCGGACAUCAGGAGGUUAGUGCAAUGGCAUAAGCCAGCUUGACUGCGAGCGUGACGGCGCGAGCAGGUGCGAAAGCAGGUCAUAGUGAUCCGGUGGUUCUGAAUGGAAGGGCCAUCGCUCAACGGAUAAAAGGUACUCCGGGGAUAACAGGCUGAUACCGCCCAAGAGUUCAUAUCGACGGCGGUGUUUGGCACCUCGAUGUCGGCUCAUCACAUCCUGGGGCUGAAGUAGGUCCCAAGGGUAUGGCUGUUCGCCAUUUAAAGUGGUACGCGAGCUGGGUUUAGAACGUCGUGAGACAGUUCGGUCCCUAUCUGCCGUGGGCGCUGGAGAACUGAGGGGGGCUGCUCCUAGUACGAGAGGACCGGAGUGGACGCAUCACUGGUGUUCGGGUUGUCAUGCCAAUGGCACUGCCCGGUAGCUAAAUGCGGAAGAGAUAAGUGCUGAAAGCAUCUAAGCACGAAACUUGCCCCGAGAUGAGUUCUCCCUGAGACUUUAGGUCUCCUGAAGGAACGUUGAAGACGACGACGUUGAUAGGCCGGGUGUGUAAGCGCAGCGAUGCGUUGAGCUAACCGGUACUAAUGAACCGUGAGGCUUAACCUU